RNAcentral lists this ribosomal RNA (495 nucleotides) under uncultured bacterium. RNAcentral's name for it is "partial 16S ribosomal RNA". It matches the Rfam family "Bacterial small subunit ribosomal RNA", at positions 28 to 507 of the family's 1533-position model. The record is from RNAcentral.
GACAAACGCUGGCGGCGUGCCUAAUACAUGCAAGUAGAACGCUGAAGGAGGAGCUUGCUUCUCUGGAUGAGUUGCGAACGGGUGAGUAACGCGUAGGUAACCUGCCUGGUAGUGGGGGAUAACUAUUGGAAACGAUAGCUAAUACCGCAUAAUAGCAGUUGUUGCAUGAUAACUGUUUGAAAGGUGCAAUUGCACCGCUACCAGAUGGACCUGCGUUGUAUUAGCUAGUUGGUGGGGUAACGGCUCACCAAGGCGACGAUACAUAGCCGACCUGAGAGGGUGAUCGGCCACACUGGGACUGAGACACGGCCCAGACUCCUACGGGAGGCAGCAGUAGGGAAUCUUCGGCAAUGGACGGAAGUCUGACCGAGCAACGCCGCGUGAGUGAAGAAGGUUUUCGGAUCGUAAAGCUCUGUUGUAAGAGAAGAACGAGUGUGAGAGUGGAAAGUUCACACUGUGACGGUAGCUUACCAGAAAGGGACGGCUAACUACGUG